CACAGGUGCAGCUGAGUUUGGGGAAAUAGCGACGUUUUUAGCACUGGUGCAAGUAGAUGACUGACUCCUGGACUCAGGAUGACAACGCAGGAGUCGCAGAAAAUCAGCCCUGGUCUCCUUGAAAGCCUUCAGGUUAGAGAGACUGAUGAAAUCCCCAAGCUGUCUCCCUGGUGCCUGGCACACAGGAGUCGCUCAGUGAAGAGCUGUUGAAUGAAUGAACGGGAUGCGUGAAUGAUGGACUCUUCUGAGAGCACUGCCUCCACGGAGAGCUCGGGGGAGACCGACAGGAGCUGGCCUGGCCCAGAGCAUCUGACCCCGGCGCUGGACCCCUUGUCCAGCGUCCCUGCAGAAGGAGUCUCUAAGGGCCUGGGCUCCGCUUAUGUUUGUGACUUCUCAGCACAAAGGAUCACUCUGCAAUUACGUAGCCACGGGGAUCAUUGUGGAAGCCAGAGCCGAGCCGGGCCUCGCUGAAUGCGCUUUCCUAGAACAAAGAAUCUCAG
Balaenoptera acutorostrata (minke whale) is the source of this 500-nucleotide long non-coding RNA. RefSeq lists it as uncharacterized. The transcript has 3 exons. The record is from RefSeq and is a predicted model, not a curated record. Lineage: Eukaryota; Metazoa; Chordata; Mammalia; Artiodactyla; Balaenopteridae.